GGGGAAUCUUGGACAAUGGGGGCAACCCUGAUCCAGCGACGCCGCGUGGGUGAUGAAGGCCUUCGGGUUGUAAAGCCCUUUCACCGGGGACGAUGAUGACGGUACCCGGAGAAGAAGCACCGGCUAACUCCGUGCCAGCAGCCGCGGUAAGACGGAGGGUGCUAGCGUUGUUCGGAAUCACUGGGCGUAAAGGGCGCGUAGGCGGCCAAGGCAGUCGGCUUUGUGAAAGCCCGGGGCUCAACCCCGGAGGUGCGGCCGAUACUCUUUGGCUGGAGGCCGGAAGAGGAGGGUGGAAUACCCAGUGUAGAGGUGAAAUUCGUAGAUAUUGGGUGGAACACCGGUGGCGAAAGCGGCUCUCUGGUCCGGACCUGACGCUGAGGCGCGAAAGCGUGGGGGGCAA
RNAcentral lists this ribosomal RNA (400 nucleotides) under uncultured bacterium. Its description in RNAcentral is "bacterial SSU rRNA". It matches the Rfam family "Bacterial small subunit ribosomal RNA", at positions 356 to 771 of the family's 1533-position model. The record is from RNAcentral.